GCCAGGCAUGGUGGCGCAUGCCUGUAAUCCCAGCUACUCAGGAGGCUGAAGCAGGAGAAUCGCUUGAACCCAGGAGGUGGAGGUUGCAGUGAGCGGAGAUCGUGCCACUGCACUCCAGCCUGGGCGACAGAGCGAGACUCUGUCUCGA
Molecule: non-coding RNA, 148 nt
Filed under: Homo sapiens (human)
Lineage: Eukaryota; Metazoa; Chordata; Mammalia; Primates; Hominidae
Source: Rfam by way of RNAcentral